UUAAACACUGUAUGUACAGGAGCAUGUAACACAUUCAGCAGUUAGAAGCAGAAAGUUGCAACCCUAUCUUGAAACCUUCACACAACUCAUACUAUAUAACAUACUGUCAUCGUGCUUACCAAAAAAAAGAAAAUGCUAUCAUAGUGCAAUCAAAUAUGUAAUAGGUAAAAUACAAAGCUUGGCCCUUAAAAUUAUCAACAUCAAUUACUAGACCUAGACACAGGCUUAACUAUACCAACGACCAAAUAGACACAUCGAAAUAUGUAUCUCCACACUUAAACAUGAGUGCAUGAAACCCUUAAAUUUUUAUUCAAAAUUUCUACGGGCCUCACAUUUGCACCCUCUUUUUCACACUACUCCUUCCAAUUCCAACGGCCACCCGUCAAGGCAAACAGCUGCAAAUAUCUGCAGAAUAUUGAGGAAAAAUUAAAACCUCCAAGAGAAAAAUAUAUCAUUCUAUUUUAACCCUAAAAGAAUAGCAACGAAAGCGUUGGAAUAUUACAACAGAACCCUCUUAUCACCAACAUUGUGCUAAGGUUUUGGAUUUUGAGAUAUUUCCAUGCUUCCAAGAUCAAUGUGAAAAUAGUUUUUAGAUAGCAGCACAUUUUUAUUUGAUCAGUCAUAAACUUGCAGUCAGGACUCAGUUGUACCAACUUUUUAAAGUUGGCCUUAAUUAGAUAGCACAUGUAGCAAAGCAAAUGGAGUACACUCAACAAAUGAAAUGAUAUACUACUGUCCUUUGAGUUGUUAAAUCUCUUAAGAGGAGAAGAAAAGAGAAAGUGCCUUUGGGAGAUGGAUGGGUGGAGAAGAAAAUAUAAUAGAGAAGGAGACGAUUGGUCUCAGAGAUACA
This 850-nucleotide long non-coding RNA is filed under the name Nicotiana benthamiana. RNAcentral's name for it is "long non-coding RNA (NBEN_LNC040007)". The record is from RNAcentral. Lineage: Eukaryota; Viridiplantae; Streptophyta; Magnoliopsida; Solanales; Solanaceae.